Molecule: non-coding RNA, 17548 nt
Organism: Callithrix jacchus (white-tufted-ear marmoset)
Lineage: Eukaryota; Metazoa; Chordata; Mammalia; Primates; Cebidae
Source: RefSeq, a predicted model, not a curated record
UGCUCUGCGUCAUGACGUCACGCCCACCGUGCCCGCUGCGGGUGACUCGAAACGAGGUCGUUUCCUCACGCGCGUUUGUUCCCGCGCGGGAGCCGCCCCGCUGCACCCGAGCGGCCCCUACUGCGGCCCCCCACGCCUGUGCCUGGCUCGGGGGACUUCGCCUUGAGUGCGCCGGGCGCUGGGGCCAGUGUUUCUCUGCCCGCCUCUCCGUGGCCCCGAGAGCGUCUCCUCCCAGGACAGGUCGGGGUGGCUGGAGCGGCGCCUGAUUGAAGGGAGUUGCCGGACUCGGCGACCCCUGGCUCUUGGCGGUUUGCAGGGCAUUAUUCAUCCAUUAUUCAUCAUUCUCGGGAUUCACCUGCUGGAUCGGCGGGCCACGGGAGAGAAGCGCCGGGAUGUUGCAGCUCUCGGCGAGGAAGUAUCCUUUCCGAGAGGGAGGCAGCCCCCCGUGCGUUUGCAGCCGCCCUCUUCGUCUUACUGGACCUCAGUCUUUGCGGAGGCUGUCGGGAGCAGUACUUAGCCACAAUAGCAAGCCUACACACAGUCUCACUCUGUUGCCCAGGUGGGAGUGCAGUGGUGCAAUGUGAUCACACCUUGACCUCCUGGGCUCAAGCGAUACUUCCACCUCAGCCACCUGAGUGGCUGGGACUAUAGUGAAAUCCUAUGCUGUUGGAAAUGGAGAAAGGGAGAGGAAGAGUGAUGGCUGGAGGAAUCAGAUUUGGGAAUGCACAGUCCAGAUGGUAACAGUGACCCACGAGGAGGAAUUGUGGCCAGAAGCAUGCAGCCCAGAGCAAUCCCCAGGCAGUUGUUCUUCCUGCUGCCCUGGAUAAUAUGGUACAGUGACUUACACCUGUAAUCCCAGCACUUUGGGAGGCCGAGGCAGAAGGAUCGCCUGAGUUCAGAAGUUCAAGACCAGCUUAAAAAGAAAAAAAACAUAGCCUGGCAUGGUGGCAUGUGCCUGUAGUCCCAGCUACUCAGGAGGCUAAGGUGGAAGAAUCACUUGAGCCCAGAAGAUUGAUGCUGCGGUGAGCUGUGAUCACACCACUGCCCUCCAGCCUGAGCAACAAAGCAAGACCCUGUCUUAAAAUAAAUAAUAAUAAUGAUGAUCUAAGCAUUUAGAAUCACUCUGGAAAGAAAAACAAUGGAGAUGUUUGGCCAACAAUGUAGAGUAAAGGAAAAAGAGUACAACUACAAUGAAACGGGCUGAGAGGGGAGAACUGCAGUUCAGCACGGGGAGGAAAAGUCAGAGAUGUUGAUCUUCUGGCUCUUGGGACUCUAUCAGAACCCCAUCUGCUCACCCCAGUCCUCAGGCCUUCAGAUUAGGACUGCAUUCUACCACUGGCUUUCCUGGUUCUCCGGCUUGCAGAUGGCAGAUGAUGAGAAUUCUUAGCUUCCAUAAUCAUAGAUGGGGUCUUACCAUGUUGCCCAGGCUGGUCUGGAACCCCUGAGCUCAAGCAGUCCUCCUACCUUGGCCUCCCAAAGCCCUGGGAAUAUGUGUGUGAGCCAUCACCUCUGCUGGGCAAGCAUCUUUGAUAGAAACAUACCAAAUCACCAGAGAACACAUGUCAGAAAAAUAUAUACAACUGAUGACAGUCUCACUCUGUCACCCAGGCUCGAGUACAAUGGUGUGGUCUUGGCUCACUGCAACCUCUGCCUUUUGGGUUCAAGCAAUUCUCCUGCCUCAGCCUCCCAAGCAGCUGGGACUACAGAUGUGUGCCUGUAGUUUUUUCUUCAAGACUAAAAUAGUAACUGUGUUAAUUACUGUGCUCUGGGUAUAUGUGUUAAGAUUAUGCCCAGCAAAGGGCUCCUAGGCAAGGGUUUGAAUUGGGAGUGGAGUCCAACCUGAACUUUCUCAGUCUCAGAAAAGGAAGCCUUUUCGUAGUGACACUUAGAUGCCAACUGGCUAGCUGCAGUCCUUCUGGUUACCCAAACAUGGAUUUGGCCUUCUGUGGGAACUCAGUAAAACUUAGAAAACCAAUUCCAAUUCAACUUGGGCUUUUACAAGGAUUAUUACUCAAGGCUGGUGUGUUAGGCCAUUCUUGGAGUGCUAUAAAGGAAUACCUGAGACUGGGUAAUUUACAAUGAAAAGAGGUUUCAUUGGCUUACAGUUCUGUAAGCUGCACAGGAAGCAUGGUGCUGGCAUCUACUCUGUCAAGAUUUCAAAGAUCUUUGGUCCAGGUUCCCAUAAAAGAAGUCACUCAAGGUCCCAAAGUGAUGGCUGCAGGGUUACUUCCUCCCUCCCCUUCUUGCUCUAGGAAUUGGGUGUUCUUGCUGUGCAUCAAUGGGUUCUUGCAUCUCUGACAGUAAAGGUCAUUGAAGUCCUCAACUUGCGUUGAUCAUUGACUAAUAAUAAAAUAUGUCUAAAUUCGAGGAACAGAACCUUUCUCGAGUUGACUUAAUCUCUUUUUGCAUGCUUUGGCUCCUGACUUGUGAUCCAUCUACUUUUUUUUUUCUCUUCAUUUCUCAGAUAGUGAUGGGAGUGGUGAGCUGUUUGUCUCUUAGAUACCACAAGAGGCAGAGGGGAUAUGGCAGAAAUGGAAAUAGGAAUACCCAUGACCCUGCUUUUGGCUAGAUUGUGACAUAAGCAGCUGGACUCUAGAUUUUUCCGUGACCUUUAUAUCCUUCUCAUUAUCUGAGACUCAUUUUUUUUUUCUCAACAAUUGCUUUGUGGAAAGUGGAAAAGAGAAACAAUCAACUACUUUUUAUCAAAAUGCAAAUGACUGAUCAGACUCAUUGUGGGCCUCGGUGGCUCACGCCUGUAAUCCCAGCAUAUUGGGAUGCCAAGGCAGGUAGAAUGCUUGAGCCCAGGAGUUUGAUACCAGCUUGAGCAACAUAGCAAGACCCCCAUCACUAGAAAGAAAGAGAGAGAGAGAGAGAGAAACGGAGGGAGGGAGGAAGGAAGGGAGGCAGGGAGGGAGGGAAGGAAAGAGAAGGAAGGAAGAAAGAAGGAAGGAAGGAAAAGAAGGAAGGAAGGAAGGAAGGAAAAUUGCAUUUCUUUUUGUGAUAUUUCCAUUUUAACUUUGUGCCAAAACCAUUUAAUUAUGUUUCAGCAUGAGAAGCUGAUAGAAUUCCAGGCCAGUCAGUAGGGGCUAGAAGCUGUGUGAGGAGGGUUAGGGAGGGGAAUGGGAGCAGGAAAGGAGAAAUCUUUCCACUGCUCCUGAUUCUCAUUCAGGAGCAGCCCUGAAGACCACUUCUACCUGGAAUAAAAUAGAACGGCUUUGACCUUUUGAAUGUGGAGGCGGUAGCCUAGGUAGAAAAGGUAAAUAAAAAACUAGGUCAUAGACCUCAAAGUCCCCCCCAAAAUAAAAAGAUGUUUUAGGUGGGAACUGGGGCAUAAACAUCUUUGUGAAUUAGUGUGGAAGGAAUCUGAUCCUGUCGCUGUCCUAGUUUGUGCUCUUGUGAUUGUUCUGAUGCAGACGGUUCUUGAAGUGGGGGCAGGUCUAUCCACAGGUCUUGCUUCUGCCUGAUUUUUCUUCUUUUCAGUCUUUUGAGAUAGAGUUUCACUCUUGUCGCCCAGGCUGGAGUGCAGUGGUGCGAUCUCAGCUCACUGGGACUUCGCCCCCUGGGUUCAAGCAGUUCUCCUGCUUCAGCCUCCCACGUAGCUGGGAUUACAGGUGCCCGCCACUAUGCCUGGCUAAUUUUUGUAUUUUUAGUAGAGAUAGGGUUUCACCAUGUUGGCCAGGCUGGUCUCAAAGUCCUGACCUCAGGUGAUCCGCCCACCUCGGCCUCCCAAAGUGCUGGGAUUACAGGCGUGAGCCACCACAGCCAGCCUCCUCCUGAUUUUUCAUACUCCCUUUCUAUGAGCCUCCUUUGGUACUGGGUGUUAAAUUAUGUCUCAGUGUUGCUGGUGAUCUUUAGCCACUAUCCCUGCAAAUUUUUUUCCCCUGAGGCAGAGUCUUGCUCUUUUGCCCAGGCUGGAGUGCAGUUGUCCAAUCUGAGCUCACUGCAACCUCUGCCUCCCACAUUCAAGCAAUUCUUCCCCCUCAGCCUCCCAAGUAACAGGUGGCUGCCACCAAGCUCAGCUAAUUUUUGUAUAUUUAGUAGAGAUAGGGUUUUACCAUGUUGGCCAGGCUGGUCUCAAACUCCUGACCUGUGAUCUGCCCACUUCAGCCUCCCAAAGUGCUGGGAUUAUAGGUGUGAGCUACUGCACCCAGCCUACCCCUGCAAUUUUAAAUAAAAAGCUGGCACACAGGUGUUGACUUGAGGGAGCAAUAAUCUAAGAAUGUGCAUCACAGAGAGGCAGCUGUCCUCAGUUAAUUUAACAGAGUCAGCUUCCUGGAAAGAACUCCUGGCAAUGCGUAGAAUUAGAGAUUGGAGUAUCUUGGAAUUUUUUGGCCCAGAUUUUGUUGUGUGACUUUAGGCAAAUAGCAGCUGCAAGAAGAGAAGGGAGUGGCAGAUGGUAGCAGGAGUCUCAGAGUUGAUUCCGGAGUGCGGGGUGGGGGUCACGCUUCUCCCUUUGAGGGGAUAAAAGGCAGGGGCACAGGACCAAAUACUAUGGCUGUGAGAGGAAGCCCUCACCCCACCACCAGCUCAAGCAGGGCUAUAAGUUGUGGACUGGACUUCCCUAAAAGAAUGAUGUGGCAUUCUGAGGUCAGUGUGGGGUAGAAGUUAUAUAAAAGUUAAAAAGUUAGGGUUGAGGGGAGUAGGGAUAGGAUUACAUCAUCUGUUGGACACAGUAUUUAGCAAUAAAAAGAAAGUCCUGGCCAGGGGCAAUGGCUCAUGCCUGUAAUCCUAGCAUUUUGAGAAGUGGAGGCAGGUAGAUCACAAAGUCAGAAGAUGGAGACCAUCCUGAUCAACAUGGUGAAACCCCGUCUCUACUAAAAUAUAGGAAACUAGUCUGUAGUCUGGAUGGUGGCAGACAUCUGUAGUCCCAGCUACUUGGGAGGCUGAGGCAGGAGAAUUGCUUGAACCCGGGAGGCAGAGGUUGCAGUGAGCCAAGAUCGCACCACUGCACUCCAGGCUGGUGCCAGAGCAAGACUCUGUCUCAAAAUAAAAAAAAAGGUCCUAUGAUUUGCCUUUUAGGUUAUAAGAGAGAUAAAUGUUAAAAUAUGAAUAGCCUCGAAAGAUUCAAAAUGACCAUAUUGAAACAUCAUGUACUUUUAGGGGUCAUCGUAGGCCCUAGUCCCUGAGUGGAACUACAGGUAUGAAGCUUCUCACAGGGCAGAAGGUAAAGGUUUGGCACUGGUGACAACUGAAAAGCGUUCCAGCAGUGCAGCAGAGAAAAUCAAGUUGUGCACAGCAGAAAAUUAAGAAAGGAUGCAUUGGGGUUGGUGUCUUCAUGAGGCAGGGGCAUUAGGGUAGGAGGGGUAGGAUGGGAGGCUGGGCGUCAAUUGUCAAGGUAGGUACUGGAUCCCUAGGCACUUAGAAGUAAAGAAGAUCCCAUCUGUAAAACCUGGGCAUCUGGCACCUCAUGUUGAAGCAAGGACCAAUUCAGAUAGAGCAGAAGUUUGCAAAGUUGGAAAAACUGUGCCAGUAAUAUUUUUGGGAAACCAUAUCAUUCCCAGUUUGUUGAUCUGAGAAAUACUUAUAUAAUCUUUUACUUUAUCUUUAUACUUCCAAAUGAGAAUAAUAAACUCAAACCUUCCUCCUAAGACAAUAUACACAAAAUGCUUAGCAGAAAUGUGGUACUUAUAAAACAUUUCCAUAAAGGGCCAAGGUAGAUGGCUCAUCCUUGUAAUUUCAGUGCUUUGGGAGGUUGAGAUGGGAGGAUUGCUUGCAGCCAGAAGUUCGAGACCAGCCUGGGAAACAUAAUGAGACCUUGUCUCUAUACAAAAGUUAAAAAGUUAACCUGGUAUUUUGGUGCACACCUGUGGUCUCAGCUAGUUGGGAGGCUGAGGUGGGAGGAUCGCUUGAACCCAGGAGUAUGAGGCUGCAGUGAGCUAUGGUCAUGCCACUCCACUCCAGCCUGGACAACAGAUCGAGACCUUAUCUCCAAAAAAAAAAAAAAAAUUAAAAAGAAAAGAAGAAGAAAAAACAAAGAAAAAUUUUUGGCCCUUCGUGGUGGCUCAUGCCUGUAAUCCCAGCAUUUUGGGAGGCAAGGUGGGCGGGUCACUUGAGGCCAGGAGUUUGAGACCAGCCUGACCAACAUAGAGAAACCAGGAAACUUAGUCUCUACCAUAAACAAACAAACAAAAUUAGUCGGGCAUGGUGGCAGGUGCCUGUAGUUCCAGCUAUUUGGGAGGCUGAGACAUGAGAAUCACUUGAACUGGGGAGGCGCAGGUUGCAGUGAGCUGGGAUCCCAGUACUACACUCCAGCCUGGGCAGAGUGAGACUCUGUCUCAAAAAAAAAAAAAAAAAGAAAAGAAAAAAAAUGGUAAAAUGUUAUAAUGUUAAAAGCUAUUGCGUGAGUAAACAGCAGAUCAAAACUUGUAUCCUCCCCCUUUUAUCAAUAAGGAAAGCCCACUAGAGAUGCAAGAUAGAUGCAGGGCUGUUACUGUAGUUCUCCAUGAAGUCAUGAGGACUUGGACAAGAUGUUGCAAAAGAGAACUACUGGAGUUGGGUGGGUAACUAACUACAUAUGUGGGUUGAGGGAGGGAGAAAGCAGGAAGAAGAGCCAUUUAAGGGAGAAAAUAAGGUUUAUGUUAGGCAUGACACAGUCGAGCUGAUGCCAGCCCAUACAUGUGGGAGCACCCACCAGACUCGGGGAGAGAUGGGGAGAUUGCAGGGGGUAAAGGUGUGACUGAUUCCAGCGAAAGUCAGUGAUGAUGAGCUACACACUGGGCCAUUCUGCUUAGAAACUGGGCCAUUCUGCUUAGAAACUGGUCACUGAAGUCAUGAGGGUCAGUGAGACCAUGAGGGGAAGUGGAACAUGCAAGAGGAGAAUGGAAGUGAGAAGAUCAGAGAAUACCACAGUAAGGAGGUGGAAGGAGGAGGGAGUGUAGGCAACAAGUCUGUUCUGUUACUCCAUGGGACUUGCCUGAUGUUUGUACCUUAAGCACUCUGGACUCAGGCAUACAACUGAUACUCAGUAAAUUCUUAUGAAGUCUUCCCCCAGCCCCAGACCUCAUAUCCACCAUCCUGCCUUCUGAUGCCUUCCUACAUCUGUUCGACACUCCACCACCUCUGAGUGUUGGUCCAUGUUACCCACAUUCCUGGAGAUGCCUUCCUUUUUCUACUGAACCUCCGAGUUCCUGAGGGCCUGAGAAGUAGGAGAAAAAUCACACUAUUGCUAUCUUACAGAAAGGGAGAGAGAAAAAUGAUCAAUAGCCUCCUAUGGCCAGCAGGCUGGUGAGAGAAAAAAUCCUUGGACUCAGCAAAUUGAGUACACAGAUGAUCUUUCAAGAUACAGCUUCAUUAGACUUCUGAGAACAAAAGCCAGAUUGCAGGAGGUUAAGUCAGUGAUGAUUUUCUUUUGUGAAGUUUGAUUUAAAAUUGUAGUGCCAAAAGGCAAAGAUUAAAGGUCUGAGUCACUGAUGUGGAAUUCGUUUUAGGAAGGCUUUUUGGGGAUUUUUGCAAAGUGGUAAGUGAACCAGAGAAGGGCUGAAAAGCCUUCUCAAUAUUUUUUUUAUAAGCCUUUGCAGUUUUUUUUUUUUUUUCUAGUCAGAGUCUCGCUCUGUCACCCAGGCUGAAGGACAGUGGUGUGAUCUCACCUCACUGCAACCUCCACCUUCUGGGUUGAAGCGAUUCUUCUGCCUCAGCCUCCCAAGUAGCUGGGAUUACAGUCACUCACCACCACUCCCAGCUAAUUUUUGUAUUUUUAGUAGAGAUGGGGUUUCACCAUGUUAGCCAGGCUGGUCUCGAACCCCUAACCUCAGAUGAUCUCACUUCAAUGAACCUUCUUAUCAGUCCCUUAUUUCAUCCUCACAAGAGACUUCUGAAGGCACCAGCAUUUCCAUAUUACAGAUGAGGACAUUAAACCUCCAAGAAAUUAUGACUUGUUCAGGAUGUCAUAGUUCAUCUGUAGCAGCACUGGGACUCAAAUCCUGUCUCCUUGUCUACCACUCUGAAAUUUCAUUUCAGCUCACAGGUAAUAAGCAGCCUUUUAGGCCAUGUACUAGAAUUUGGGGUCUGAGGGUUCCUACUUCUGGCCAAAAUUGAAUGGGAUAUGUGGUUACUUCUUGGAGAUAAAUAUUUUAUAUCUCUUUUGGGGAGGAGGUUGAAGGAGGGAGAAUGAUGGACCAAAAGUCAGUUGGAUUCAUGUGGCUCAGAAAUGGGAGACAAAGGACAUUUACUUUCUCUUACCAUGGACUGUAGCUAGAAUAGUCAUUCUUGACAGCCCAAUCUCUCAGUAAGUUAACAAGAAUUUACUGAGUAUCAGUUGUAUGCCUGAGUCCAGAGUGCUUAAGGUCCAAAAAUCAGGCAAGUCUCAUCGAGUAACAGAACAGAGUGAGGCAGAGUUAUGAUAUAAAUAUACAUAAUCGCUAUUAUAAUGACAGAAUUCCUUGGAGAAAAUCAAUAGUCUUUGAAAGGUUGUUUUGGCAGUGUUUGGCCUGUAGUUUUUCCUCCAAAUGAGUGGAUGCUAGUCAAAUAAGAUUAUCAAAUGAAUGAAAGACAGUUAAUGGAAAUACCCUGGAAUUAAGCAGGUUUGGUGGGGAGUAUGUAUGUUGGGAGUUGUUGGGAGAGGGAGACAGCGUUCCAUAGAAAAAGGAAGGCAUCUCCAGGAAUGUGGGCAACAUGAACCAACACUCAGAGGUGGUGGAGUGUAGAACAGAUGUAGGGAGGCAUCAGAAGGCAGCAUGGUGGAAAUGAGGCCUGGGGCUAGGGGUAAGUGAGACAUAGAAGGGAGUGGGGAGAGAUCGGUGAUCAGCUGGUUACCACUUUUCUUCUUUUCCACAUCUCUGACAGGCACACACCUUGUUCAGGACUAAGAUUGUGAUGACUUGUUUGCAGUUGGAAUUUAAUCUGGGUAUACCUCCAAGCCAAUUAACUUAGCCCCCAUGAAGUUUUUACUCCAAUUCCCCGCCCUUUUAUCCCAUGAAAAUCCUUCUCCAGGGUGAGAGAAAUGAGAAUGUGCCCUUGUAUGUAGGAAAAUUUUAGAGUCAACAUCAACAUCACUUUUUGAAAAUAUAGUACUUUGUGCAGCCAAUAAGUCACAAAGCAUUAGGGUUUUGAAUAUCAGUCAAGCAGGACCUGUAGUUUAAUUUUAAAACAAAAGAGCAAAGAAAUGUCACUUCUAUUAUAAAGCAUGAAUUGUUACCACCUUACCCCUUUGCAAUCUGCUUAACAGAUAUUUGUUGCCUUUUAUUUUGUGAAGGAAAGAAAUGCUUUUGAAAUCUUCUCUAACCUAUCAUAUAUACUUCAGUUUUCCCCACCAGAUUAGCCCAAUGGCACUAGUAACAAAAGAAAAAGGUAAAUUUUUAGAAAAUGGCGUAGGAAUUCUAAUAGCAUAUAUAUCAAAGCAGAUGAUGAGAAUGUUUAUAUUUCUUCUUGAUGUCAAAUCACUGUUUAUCCUACAGAAGUCAAUGUUAUGGCAUGUGUAAUAUCUGGUCUUUUCUGGUUGCACUGUUUUGCUUUGGAUAAAAAUUUGAAAGGGCUUAUAACAGACAUUCAAAUGCCUGUUGGGCUUGGAUAGGAUGGGGCUUUAAUCUGUGAUGACUUGUUCUGUUUUAUCAUUUCUCAUAUUUUGGCAAACCAGGCUUUGACAGUAGGCUGAUUCUUCUUGGUUAUAAUGUUGACUUCUGCCAAAAUAUACAGCUCUUUAGAGUAAAAUAUCAAUAACCAUAAUUCUUUGCUUAAAAUACCUAGUAAUAUUUUAAUUGGGUUUCCAGAUUGUUGUGUUCUAGUAAUGGACACCAUAUGCUCAGAGAAGCAGUGUGGUACAGUGUAGUGGUUAAGAGAACAAAUAGUGAGUGCUUAAGACAUACAGGCUGGGAGGUAGAUAGCCUGAGUUCAGAUCCCAGUUCUGCUUUUUACUAUUAUGUGAUCAUGGGCAUCUCAGUUUCUUUACAUAUAGGGACAAGGAUACUUAACUUAUAGGAUAUUGAAAUGAUCAAAUGAGUUAAUACAUAUAAAAUACUUAGAAAAAGUGUGGUCCUUAAUAAGCACUCAGUAAAUGUAAAUUAUUAUCAAAGGGCUUGGUUUUACUUAAUGGUCUUGGGGCAGAUCCACCACAUGAUUCUCUGAACUCUUUCUUGGUAUAACAUGUUUAUUGAGAUACAAUUUACUUACCAUAAAAUGUAUCAUUUUAAAGUGCAUAAUUCAGCGUUUUUUAGUGUACUCAGAGUUCUGCAACUAUCAUUACAAUCUAAUUUUGAAACAUUUUCAUUGUCCCAAAAGAAGCCAGAAACCUGGGCCCAUUAGUAAUGGUUGAAUUAUUUUACAUUCCCACCAGCAAUGAAUGAGGAUUCCAUUUUCUCCACAUGCAGAUGAACACUCGUUACUAUUUGUCUUUCUUAUUUUAGCCAUCCUACUUGGUGUGAAGUAACAUCUCCUUGAGGUUUUGAUUUAAAUUUCUUAAUGAAUAGUAAUAUGGAGCAUUUUUUCACGUGUUUAUUGGCUAUUUGUAUAUCUCCUUUGAUGAAAUAUCUAUCAAAUCCUUUGCACAUUUUUUUUAAACCAGGAACAUGUGCACAUUAUUGAAUGCCAUUGUAGAAAAGUGUGGGGCUGAUACAGGACUUGGCUCCGGGGGGGCAGGGCAAGGAAUGGAAGGUGGAGUACGUGGGAAACAGGUCAUGGGCAGAGCUCCUGGCCUGGAUGAUGCCUCCUGCUCUAUCGAUGGACUUGCAAGAUCAAUACUAGAUGAUGAUAAGCAGAAUGGCCAUGAUGAUGCCCAAAACAGGGCCCCAGUGUUCAGGCACUUGGCAGUGAAGGCAUAGACCUGGACCCUGGUCAGGUCGCCAACCAUCUUCCUGUCCCUAGAGUUUACAGAGUAGGUGAAUGCUAUGAAGCCCAGGCAGUAGGAGUUUAUGAACAGAUGUUGAAAAGGGACCAGAUGACAUGGUCGGGCACUGAGGUCUCGCUGCAGAUGUGGAUCACGAUGGAUGUUGGGGGAGCAGGGUUGUGGGGCAUUCCCCAGCACAGCCACCUCGUGCUCCUCCUUCAGCAUCUCAUAGUUGGGGGAAUGGUCAGUAUUGGCAGGAGUGAAGAAGGUUUAGACAGUGUGGUUCAUGGUGUCCAGGGAAGACCAGCUGUGGUCAGGUUGCUGGGAUGGUUUUCCCCUUUGCACAUUUUUAAAUUGGGUCUAACUUCUUUUAAUCCACUGAAUUUUCACUAUAAUUUUUUUUUUUUUUGAGAUGGAGUCUCACUUUGUCGCCCAGGCUGGAGUGCAGUGGCAUGAUCUCGCUCACUGAAACCUCCACCUCCCAGUUCAAGCAAUUCUCCUGCCUCAGUUUUUUGAGUAGCUGGGAUUACAGGCGCAUGCCACCAUGCCCAGCUAAUUUUUGUAUUUUUUAGUAAAGGUGAGGUUUCACCAUGUUGGCCAGGCUGGUCUCAAACUCCCAACUUCAGGUGAUUUACCCGCCUUGGUCUCCCAAUGUGCUGAGAUUACAGGUGUGAGCCACCACACCUGAUCUCCACUAUAAUUCUUUAUACAUUUCAUUAUAAUUUGUCCAUUAUAACUCUCUCUCUAGUAAAAAAAAUAUAUAUAAUAUUCCAAGAAACUGGUGCAUAUAAUUUAACCAUUCAUCUGUGGAUGAUUAUCUCUAUUUUUCCUGCUGUUAUUAUAAAUAAUGCUACAACAAAUAUUAUAGUACAUAUAUUCAUUCUCAUGUGUUUGUGUUUUUCUAUAAGGAUAGAUUUCUAUCAGAUAAUUGUACAGUUAAAAGAUAUGUAUCUAUAAAUAUUUUUAUAGAUAUGCCAAAUUGCCCUCCAAAAAGAUUAUACCAAUAUAUACUCCCACUAACAGUGUCUGAGGGUAUUUCUUUACUCAUACUCUUAGAAAAGUUUCCAAUGGGGUGAUGGAUAAACUAACUUAUUUUUCUCAUUUCAUGUUGUAUCUUCAGGAAACUCUUUCAACAUUAUAUUUACAUUUUCAGACUGCUUUAAGCAUAAGCUUUGCAGUCAAGAAAAGAGGGAAUAAUGUCAGCAUUAUUAUGAAGAAGCUUCCCAUAUCCACUAAGAAAAGGAUAAUCCUUUAAUAAUUUUAAUAUAAUUUAUAAAAACUUUUGCCCUCCGGUUUUCUGUUAUGGGUAUUUUAUUUUAAAAUUUUUAAUGCCUGCAUUCUAUGGGAUGCUAUGAUUUAUAUUGUAUAUGAUUGCUACUUUUACUGGGAGGAUAUAAUGGAAAUUGAGCAAUGUGAAUAAUUUCCUGAAUUAUUAAAAAAAUAAGUAACCAGUUUGAGAAAUGUUAACCUGAAUUUUUGAGAAAUCAAACUCACUGCCUCUUAGGAGUUAGUUUGCAGAGAAACUUACCUUUCCAUGUCCAUGUAAACUGGUCCCUGAACAUUUUAAACAUUGACAUUUUGGACAUUUACCUUAAAUGUUUGGAGUAUUUAGUAUAAUUGAUAAUCAGUAUUUCAAAUGCCCGUUGUCCUUUUGAUGGUUCAGGAGAAAAAUAGUGAUGCUGUCUUUUAGUUCUUUUCUUUCUUUUUCUUUGAGGCAAUCUCACUGUGUCAUUCAGGCUAGGGUGCACUGGUGCCCUCUCAGCUCAUUGUAACCUCUGCCUCACUGGGUUCAAGUGGUUCUCAUGCCUCAGCCACUCAAGUAGCUGGGAUUACAGGCACAAGCCAUUAUGUCCAGCUAAUUUUUGUGUUUUUAGUAGAGACAGGGUUUUGCCAUCUUGGCCAGGCUGAUCUCAAACUCCUGGCUUCGAGCAAUUGGUUCGCCUUGGCCUCCUGAAGUGCUGGGAUUACAGGUGUGAACCACCACGCCCAGCCCAAGUUUCUUCUUUUUCUUUUUUAAAAAAUUUUUUUAGAGUUGGGGUCUCACUGCGUUGCCCAGGCUGGACUUGAAGCAAUCCUUCUGCUUCGACCUCCCAAGUAGCUGGGACUACAGAUGUGCCCUGUCAUGCCUGCUCCUAAGUUCUUAAUUUGUGGUAGGCAGAAUAAUGCCUCCCCCGGGAAAGCCUGUGUCCUAAGGCCUGGAACCAGUGAAAGUGGUAGGUCCAUGGCAAAAGAAAAUUAAGAUAGAAGGUAGAAUAAAGGUUGCUAAUUGGCUGACUUCAAGAUUGGGAAAUUAUACUGAAUACUCGAUGUGGGCUCAGUGUAAUCACGAGAGCCCUUAAAGGUGGAAGGGGGAGGCAGAAUACAAGUCAGAAAGAAAGAGAUAUGGCCGGGCGCGGUGGCUCACCCCUGUAAUCUCAGCACUUUGAGAGGCCAAGGUGGGCGGAUCAUGAGGUCAGGAGAUGGAGACCAUCCUGGCUAACACGAUGAAACGCUGUCUCUACUAAAAAUACAAAAAAUUAACAGGGCAUGAUGGCACGUGCCUAUAAUCCCAUCUAUUUGGAAGGCUGAGACAGGAAAAUAUCUUGAACUCAGGAGGCAGAGGUUGCAGUGAGCCGAGAUCGCACCACUGCACUACACUCCAGCCUGGGCAAUAGAGCAAGACUCCAUCUCAAAAAAAAAAAGAGAGAGAGAAAGAGAGAGAGAGAGAGAUGACAACAGCAGUGAGGUCAGAGGUAUGGGAUGUGAGAGGUACUGGACCUACUGUUGCUGGUUUUGAAGCUGGGGAAGGGACCCAUGAACCAAAGAACAUGAGCAGCUUCUAGGAGCUGGAAAAGGCAAGAAAAUAGGUCUUUCCUAGAGCCUCCAGAAGGGAAUGCAGGCCUGCCAGCACCUUGAUUUCCCCCCAGUAAGACCCAUUUUGGACCUCCAGAACUGUAAGAUAAUACAUUUAUAUUAAGAUGCUACGUUUGUGGUAAUUUGUUACAGCAGCAAAUAGAAAACUAGUAAGAUUUGAAAUGUUAUAAAUGUUACUGAGUAGGCCAGUUUCCUCAUUCCAUGCCAUUGUAGGUCUUUGAAUGUGGAUCUCUUACGAAACUCAUGAAAGCUUACAUUCUGCCCCAGAACUACAGCUGCCAAUCCUUCUGAUACAUAUUUCUUCACCUGUCCAAAUCCAGUCAAUUGAGAGCUUUGCUCCAGUGCCUAAUGUGGCUUUAGACAUUGGCAAGUCUGUGUAAACUGCACAAGGACAUGGAUGUUACGUUCUUUUAAAUUUAUUUGUCAGGUGCCACUUGGUUCACGAUGACUGUGUUCUCUAGGAAUGUUUCUUCGUCUCUCGUUAACAUGGAGGCAAAGAAUGUCAUGUCACGUGUUGGUGAGAGAGACCUCCCUUUGUCUCUCUUCUGGCCGAAACUCCUACUCCUAUCACGUGACACUAAUGAGUACUCAGUCUUCUCAGGGCUACUGAUCUUGGCACUGCUGUUUGGCACAGGAAUAGGCAAUAAUCCAGGACUUUCCUGGUACUUCUGAACCUGGAAUAUGAGAGCCAGUGUUGCAGUCUCUCUCUGGUGGUGAAACAGUGAAACACCAGAUGUAGGCAGCUAGCGGGUGCCUCCGUUGAGAGAAUAAAACUGAAGGGUCAAGAGAGAAAACUCACAGAGUUCGAGUUCUUGGCACCCGUUAUACUUGAGGCACAGCUGCAUAGAAACCCUUCCCAAGGUUUAUUUAUAUAAGCAAAUAAGUUCUUUGCUUAAAAAAAAAUCAAUUUUGGUUGGGUGCGGGGGCUCACUCCUAUAAUCCCAGCACUUUGGGAGGCCAAGGUGGGUGGAUCACAACAUCAGGAGUUCAAGACCAGCCUGGCCGAGAAGCUGAAACCCCAUGUCUACAAAAUACAAAAAUUAGCUGGGCAUGGUGACAGGCGCCUGUAAUCCCAGCUGCUCAGGACACUGAGGCAGGGAAUUACUUGAACCUGGGAGGCAGAGGUUGCAGUGAGCCCAGAUUGCGCCACUGCACCCCAGCCUGGGUGACAGAGUGAGACUCCAUCUCAAAAAAAAAUCAGUUUUAAUCAUUUCUAUGAAUUUCACUCACCUGCAAGGAAAAUAAUCUUGAUUAAUUCAUUUGAUAAAGGAGUAUUAGAGUUCUGUAAGAUUCAAGUUCAGUUGCUCUUACUUGCAACCAUGGGUUAGCAGUGUCCCUGUCUCCUAGAUAUACCACCAAAUAAUUGAUGUCACUGUUAUGCAUUCACUGAAAUUGUAUAAAUUCUUUCUAUAUGUCAGUCUCAUCCAGAUGUCUUAUAUUCAGUAAUUCUCACUGUUUUACAUAACCAUAUUUUCUCAAAAUGACCUAUGAAAAAAAUUAAGUUACAAAGAUGAAAGACUGGGAAUUGCUGAAUGCUACCUCUUGGAGUGUCAUAUAUAGACAAACAUAUUAAAGGCUCUGAAAAGUCCUGUGUCAAAUAAAAUUAAUCAAAUAGUUCACAAAAAUAACAAAUAGUUUUAAAAGUUCAACUUUGCUUAUAAUUAAGUAAGUGCAAAUUUAGACAACACUAUUUUAACCAAUUAGAUUGGCAAAUAUCAAAAAGUAUGUUACUAUACUGUUUGGGGUAGGAUAUCAGAAAAAAGGAAUUUGCAUGCAUUGUUGAAGGCAGUGUAAAUUGCUAUACUGUGUUUGGAGGAUAAGUGACACUAUUUAUAAAAGAUAAAAAUGUGCACAUAGUUUGACGCCCCCUCCCCAUUUUAUUUACAGAAUGUUAUCUUAUUGAUAUGCUUCUGCAUUUGCACAAGCAUAUUCAUUUCCGCUUUUUUUUUUUCCUGGUAAAGGACACCUAAAUGACCACCAAUAUUAUACUGGUUAUAUAAAUUAUGAUUAAUCUAUGCAGUGAAAUGACUGGAUAGUCAUUUAAAAAUGACUGGACAGAAAUCAGGGUUUCUUAACAUUGCCAUUUGGGGCCUAAUAAAUCUUUGUUGUGGGGCUGUCCUGUGCAUUGUAGGAUGUUUUGCAGCAUCCCUAAACUCUAACCAUUAUUUAAAGGGUAUUUAGUGGGUAGGGAGUUUGGUAAAUGCUGCCUACUAGUUGCCAGUAGCAACCUGCUCUGUCACUCUCCCAGUUGUGACAAUUAAAAAGUCUACAGACUAAUUAUUCCAGGUUGAGAGCCACUAAUCUAUUUUUUGGUAUAUUUAAUGUAUCCAACUGAAUCACUGAUCUAAAUGAACUGAUAUUUUCCCAAGAUAUAUAAGUGAACAAGGGAAAAUGCAGAAGUCUGUAUAGUUUACUAUCAUUUUGUAAUGUAUUUAUCCAUAUCUAGCUAUACAAAUUAUAGCUUGAUUUACCAAAUUGUUUAUAUGAAAGCUCUUCAAAAAGUUCAUGGAAAAUGCAUAUUAUGAAGUAAACUAUGCAUAGAUUUAAAAAAUUAUACCAAAAUUAACUUGCACUAACUUGUUAUAACAUGUCUGAACAGAAUCUAGUUUGAGGCAGUAAGAAGGAUAAGACAUCAGUUUGAAUAGAACCCCCUAUUAGAGCAACAUGAAUUCUGCUAAAAUAGAAGCAAGAACAGACAUCAAAUUUAGGGUGAAGCUUGGGUGGAAGAAUAGUGAAACCAUUGAUGCUUUAUGAAAAGUUUAUGGGAACAAUGUUCCAAAGAAAUUUGUAGUUUAUAAAUGGAUAACUCAUUUUAAGAAAAGACAAGAUGAUGUGCUAGAUAUACCCCACGGUAAAUGGGCAGAUCAUCCACAUCAACUUUUUUAGAGAAAAAUUAAUCAUCUUGUACAUGCUCUAAUUGAGGACCGAUGAGUAACAGCAGAAAUAAUAGCCAACACCAUAGACAUUUCAGUUGAUUCAGCUUAUAUAAUUAUGACUGAGAAAUUAAAGUUGAACAAAUUUUCCCCUUGAUGGGUGCUAAAACCAUUGAGCCAGAUCAAUUGCGGACAAAAGCAGAGCUUUCAAUGGAAAUUUUAAACAAGUGGAUCAAUCCUGAAGCAUUUCUUUGAAAAAUUGUAGCAACAGAUGAAACAUGACUUCACCUUACAAUCCUGAAGACAAAGCACAAUCAAAGCAAUUACCAAGAGAGGUUAAGUGGUCCAGUCAAAGCGAAAAGGGACUGGUUAAGAGCAAAGGUAUGCCAACAGUUUUUUGGGGGAUGCUGAAAGCAUUUUGCUGGUUGACUUUCUGGAGGGCCAAAGAGUGACAACAUAUGCUUAUUAUGAGAGUGUUUUGAGAAAGUUAGCCAAAGCUUUAGCAGAAAAAUGCCUAAGAAAGCUUUACCAGAGAGUCCUCCUCCACCAUGACAAUGCUUCUGUUCAUUCCUCUCAUCAAACAAGGGCAAUUUUGUGAGAGUUUCCAUGGAAAAUCAUUAAGCAUCCACCUUAUAGUCCUAAUUUGGCUCCUUCUGACUACUUUUUGUUUCCUAAUCUAAAAACAAAACUAUAAAAGGCGUGUAAAACUUCAUAUACAUAUAAAGUUUGAUAUGUAUAUGUAUGUAUGUAUGUAUCUAUCUAUCUAUCUAUAUAUAUAUACAUAUGAAACUACAUGACAUGGUUACUCCCAGGAUUCUCAGUUCUCUAGAGAUGAACUGAAUGAUUGGUAUCAUCACUUACAAAAGUGGCUUGACCUUGAUAGAGCUUAUGUCAAGAAAUAAAGUUUGUGAUUUUUAUUUUUAUCUUUUAAUUUCAUUUUUCCAUAAACUUUUUGAGAUCUCCUCAUAUAUACAUGCAGUGGUUUUGGAAGGAUACACAAGAAACUACUAGUAACAAUUGCUGAUUCUGUGAAGAACUGAAGGAUAGAGCUGAAGUGAGCAGAAAU